CCCUAUUUCACAAUUUAAGGUAACAUAUUCCCAUGAAGCAAAGAACCAAAUCCUAGCAGCAGAAAGGCUCAAACCGGCCGGUGGGAAGGGGACAGCGCACGCACAGAUUGAAGAUAGCUCGAAGCCUUGAAGUGUUUCGUUGCUUCAUUUCUUGCUCACCGAUCGUCUUGUAUAAGUGGUUCAUUAAGGAGUCUCAGGACGCGAACAGGAGACUGAAAACGAGAAAAUAUAUAAGGUUUUCCGAAAGAACGAAAGUUGGAAACCAUUGAGAAAAAAUUCUAUACGUUUAACUCUGCUUCCAGUGUAUAUAUGGGGAAGAGGGAAAAAAAAUUUGGCACUGUGUAUCAAGAUAUAUGCGGUGUGGUAAUCAGGUAUCCUAUUUUCCUCUCAAUAAAAGCUCACUCCAAAAUUGU
Molecule: long non-coding RNA, 413 nt
Organism: Penaeus monodon (black tiger shrimp)
Lineage: Eukaryota; Metazoa; Arthropoda; Malacostraca; Decapoda; Penaeidae
Exons: 2
Source: RefSeq, a predicted model, not a curated record